Molecule: non-coding RNA, 101 nt
Organism: Nemania sp. NC0429
Lineage: Eukaryota; Fungi; Ascomycota; Sordariomycetes; Xylariales; Xylariaceae
Source: the annotation of a GenBank genome assembly
GGCUCAGUGGUCUAGUGGUAUGAUUCCUGCUUCGGGUCGCACCCUUCCAUCUAUCUACAUGGGAAUGCAGGAGGCCCCGGGUUCGAAUCCCGGCUGAGCCC